RNAcentral lists this ribosomal RNA (1830 nucleotides) under Staphylococcus aureus. RNAcentral describes it as "bacterial LSU rRNA". It matches the Rfam family "Bacterial large subunit ribosomal RNA", at positions 536 to 2369 of the family's 2925-position model. The record is from RNAcentral. Lineage: Bacteria; Bacillati; Bacillota; Bacilli; Caryophanales; Staphylococcaceae.
GAGUGAAAUAGAACCUGAAACCGUGUGCUUACAAGUAGUCAGAGCCCGUUAAUGGGUGAUGGCGUGCCUUUUGUAGAAUGAACCGGCGAGUUACGAUUUGAUGCAAGGUUAAGCAGUAAAUGUGGAGCCGUAGCGAAAGCGAGUCUGAAUAGGGCGUUUAGUAUUUGGUCGUAGACCCGAAACCAGGUGAUCUACCCUUGGUCAGGUUGAAGUUCAGGUAACACUGAAUGGAGGACCGAACCGACUUACGUUGAAAAGUGAGCGGAUGAACUGAGGGUAGCGGAGAAAUUCCAAUCGAACCUGGAGAUAGCUGGUUCUCUCCGAAAUAGCUUUAGGGCUAGCCUCAAGUGAUGAUUAUUGGAGGUAGAGCACUGUUUGGACGAGGGGCCCCUCUCGGGUUACCGAAUUCAGACAAACUCCGAAUGCCAAUUAAUUUAACUUGGGAGUCAGAACAUGGGUGAUAAGGUCCGUGUUCGAAAGGGAAACAGCCCAGACCACCAGCUAAGGUCCCAAAAUAUAUGUUAAGUGGAAAAGGAUGUGGCGUUGCCCAGACAACUAGGAUGUUGGCUUAGAAGCAGCCAUCAUUUAAAGAGUGCGUAAUAGCUCACUAGUCGAGUGACACUGCGCCGAAAAUGUACCGGGGCUAAACAUAUUACCGAAGCUGUGGAUUGUCCUUUGGACAAUGGUAGGAGAGCGUUCUAAGGGCGUUGAAGCAUGAUCGUAAGGACAUGUGGAGCGCUUAGAAGUGAGAAUGCCGGUGUGAGUAGCGAAAGACGGGUGAGAAUCCCGUCCACCGAUUGACUAAGGUUUCCAGAGGAAGGCUCGUCCGCUCUGGGUUAGUCGGGUCCUAAGCUGAGGCCGACAGGCGUAGGCGAUGGAUAACAGGUUGAUAUUCCUGUACCACCUAUAAUCGUUUUAAUCGAUGGGGGGACGCAGUAGGAUAGGCGAAGCGUGCGAUUGGAUUGCACGUCUAAGCAGUAAGGCUGAGUAUUAGGCAAAUCCGGUACUCGUUAAGGCUGAGCUGUGAUGGGGAGAAGACAUUGUGUCUUCGAGUCGUUGAUUUCACACUGCCGAGAAAAGCCUCUAGAUAGAAAAUAGGUGCCCGUACCGCAAACCGACACAGGUAGUCAAGAUGAGAAUUCUAAGGUGAGCGAGCGAACUCUCGUUAAGGAACUCGGCAAAAUGACCCCGUAACUUCGGGAGAAGGGGUGCUCUUUAGGGUUAACGCCCAGAAGAGCCGCAGUGAAUAGGCCCAAGCGACUGUUUAUCAAAAACACAGGUCUCUGCUAAACCGUAAGGUGAUGUAUAGGGGCUGACGCCUGCCCGGUGCUGGAAGGUUAAGAGGAGUGGUUAGCUUCUGCGAAGCUACGAAUCGAAGCCCCAGUAAACGGCGGCCGUAACUAUAACGGUCCUAAGGUAGCGAAAUUCCUUGUCGGGUAAGUUCCGACCCGCACGAAAGGCGUAACGAUUUGGGCACUGUCUCAACGAGAGACUCGGUGAAAUCAUAGUACCUGUGAAGAUGCAGGUUACCCGCGACAGGACGGAAAGACCCCGUGGAGCUUUACUGUAGCCUGAUAUUGAAAUUCGGCACAGCUUGUACAGGAUAGGUAGGAGCCUUUGAAACGUGAGCGCUAGCUUACGUGGAGGCGCUGGUGGGAUACUACCCUAGCUGUGUUGGCUUUCUAACCCGCACCACUUAUCGUGGUGGGAGACAGUGUCAGGCGGGCAGUUUGACUGGGGCGGUCGCCUCCUAAAAGGUAACGGAGGCGCUCAAAGGUUCCCUCAGAAUGGUUGGAAAUCAUUCAUAGAGUGUAAAGGCAUAAGGGAGCU